RNA transcript from Eptesicus fuscus (big brown bat), 1310 nucleotides. It is a transcript of the gene named golgi associated RAB2 interactor 5A, with no coding region annotated. NCBI's taxonomy places the organism in Eukaryota, Metazoa, Chordata, Mammalia, Chiroptera, Vespertilionidae. The record is from RefSeq and is a predicted model, not a curated record. The transcript has 6 exons.
CGUCUCCCGGUCCGCUGCGUUGUGACGUCACACUGUCAGUGGCCACGCCCUCCGUUUUCUCCCCCGGCUCCUCCCUCCGAUGAAGCAGAGACUAGAGCGUAGGCCGGCCCUGGAUGGAACAGGUGUAGUGGGACCAGGUGGGAUGGAUGGCAGACACACCCUCGUUUCAGCCUGUCCCACGGGCCGGCCUGGACGGCUCCAACGCCUCCUUCAGAGCGGGGAGUUCGACCAGCUGCGAGACUUCACCAUCUUUGAAAGCAAUUUCGUGCAGGUGACCCGGUUAGGAGAAGUUGCCAACAAGGUAACCAUGGGGGUGGCAGCCUCCAGUCCAGCCCUGGAGCUCCCAGACCUGCUGCUGCUGGCGGGCCCUGCCAAGGAGAACGGACACCUGCAGCUCUUCGGGAUGAUCCCCUUGCAGUUCGUCCAGCUCUUCGUCCACGACGAAAGCCGCAGGCAGCUCAAGGUCAAGUUUCAAACCGGCCGCACCUUCUACCUGCAGCUGCGGAGUCCGCCCAGGACCGGCGACUGCGAGUUCGGCCAGUGGGUGCGGCUGCUCUACUGCCUGCGCUUCCGCUCGGCCCGGAGUAACCGGGAGGAGGAUGGGGACGAGGAGGAGGAUGGAGAGGAAGAUGAAGAGGAGGAGGACCUCUCUGCAUAGGGGCAUCUGGCGAGGGACUGCCUGGUCCUGAAGGGUGGGGCCAGCCCGGCCCGAUGCCCAGGUCCCCGGGGGCCUGAGGAGGGGAGCGGCGCCUCUCCCUGAAGGUGGGGCCCCUGGAACCUGCGGGGCCCCUUCCUCUGAAGAUACCUGCUCCCCCCCUUCCCACUGCGAGCCCUGGGACCGGGCUGAGCCCUCAGGCCUCCUAACUCCGGGACUCCCAUUCCUCCAGCACCCUUGACGCCCCCAAAGGACCAGAGAUCUAACCUCCCUACGUCGGGCGGACAGAUGGAUUAUAAAGUGAAUCAAGAACCAACAACCAGGCCAUGAGCAGUUUGGCCAUCGUCCCCAAUUCCACGUGGGUGGCCACCCGGCCGAAGCAGCCUUCCCAGCAUGCUCAGCGUGGUCUCCCCCGCAUGUCUUCGCACCACGUCCGGCUCCCUGGGGGCCACCCCUGAGACCUGGCACCCCGUCCCACCACGGCCGCCUCACCAGGGAGCCUUCCCAGCCUGGCCUUGGGCUCCUCCCCGCAGCAGCCGGCCUGCCCGGUCCCCGCUCUCGGGCGCCAGUCUAAGAGGGGGGGUCUUGGGUUCGCCCCUGACGCUCCGUGGUUGCCAUAGCAACGUGGUUGCCCGACUAAAUGGCUAUUCCUGGA